AUGAGGAGUUUGCUGCUGCUUCUCCUCAGCAGGAGCCUAUAGAAAUGCCUGAACCCCCACAAAGUUAAACUGCCACUGGGGAAGAGCCUCUUUCAACAGACCCUGCAGACUGGCUAUCACCUCUGACAGACUGCACCACAGAGGCUAUUCGCCCAGGGUGCCAUUCAGGCUGGGGCUGCCACUGAGUUUCAGAAAAAAGGAAAAACAGUAAAAUUUUGUGACUGAAGUCAACAAAACUUUACAGACAUGAGGACUUUUCAUCAUCCUUGAAUAAGCCUGUUUGGUUAUCAUUUUAAGCCAUUUUGGUUGAUAAUUUUCAGGGUAUGAUUACUGAGAAAAGAGAACUCACCAUGCAGUCCAAAUGCCAUCCACCAAAUGACUUUCUACUUCCUGUGUAAACAGGAAGUACAAUUAAAGAUCCAAAAAUAAUGAAUAAAAUAACUUUUAAUUUUUUUUAAUUUUGUUCAGCCACCUUGCGCUGUUUUCAAUUUACUCAUACAAGUUAUAGUUUCAAUUCUACAUACUCUCAAAACAGUAAAUAAGCCUACACUGGAAUCAGCUUUUAAUCAACAAGUCUGUGAUAAUCCUGAUGUUAAAACAAACAAAAAAAUCCCCAGAAAAAAAACAGAAUGGUUGAUUAGCAAAAGCCCCUAAAAAUGUCUUGAAAAAAUGUCUUGAAGUGAUAUAUCUUUCUCCGGCUUCCUCCCACAAUCCCCAAAACAUGCACAUCAGGUUAAUUGGCUACUCUACAUUGCCCCUAGGUGUGAGUGUGUGAGCAUAUGGUUGUCUGUCUUUGUGUCAGCCCUGCGAUCGACUGGCAACCAGUCCAGGGUGUACCCCGCAUCUCGCCCGUAGUCAGCUGGGAUAUGGUCCAGCCCCCCCACAACCCUGACGGAUAAGCAGCAUAGAUAAUGGAUGGAUGGAUGAUAUUCCUGUUCAGCUUUGACCUCACUGGAUGCGUCUCUCCUCUCUCUCAGCUGGCGUGGUGAGCCUGUGACAGUGUGUACACAGUAACAUCUAGAUUGCUAUGGCCAUCAUUAGGGGGAUCUACUUGCUGUUGGACAUAAAAAGUAGCAGAAAGCGAUGCUAACGGACCUCGGUGCAAGUGCGUUGAUCCUGACUGCAUCACUGUCGUGCCAAAGAAUAAAAAUCAAGAACCAUGUAGAACUGUUUGUACCUCACACAAACAGUGACCUCUGUGAUCUCUGCAAAUGCAUAUAAAGGUGCAAGUGUGUGGCACAGCGCGUAGGCCGCCACCACAUCCAAGUCACAUUAAUGUGUUUGUCUUUUUCUGGAGGCUUUUCAUCAAGUGUCAAAGUGAAUGAUCCUGGCUUAAUGUGCAGUCUCUUGCUGCCAUCUAGUGGCCCUGGCAUGAAAACUAAUUUCAGCUUCCUCCUCUCAAAAAUGACUGUUCUGGAGACAUCAGCAAGAUAUGACUGCCAGUGUUAGGCAUAGGCAGAGUAUUAUUUUUGCACUUCAAUAUUUAAACAAUGUUGAAUGACAAUAGCCACAGUUAUAAUCGUGAUUACUGUAAUAAUAAAAAACACAAUUCAAACUAUAUGUUUUUAUUUUUUAAUUUUUCUUUCCACUGUCCUCAUUCCCGCUCCUCCCUUUCUCCCUCAUCCAUGUCAUCAGCAUCCAUUUGUUUUAAAGGCAAAGAUAAUAAUAAUUGUGUGACCAUAUGUGCUGACAAAAAUGCCCUGUUUGGCUUCUGCACCCUGAUCUAUAGCAUCAAGCACCUCCUUCAGCAGCUCCAACCUCCACCUCUACUUCACAGGGAGUCUGAAGACCUCCAUGCUGGGGCCUGGACCAUCUACAAUGGUGUUCUUCUGGCCAAAGGCUUUCUAUUCUGUGUUUAAAAACAAAGGAUAACAGAAGUUUGUUUUAAUGUUGUUAUAAGCAGAUGCACAUCUCUGAGGGGUCCUAAUGCAAGGAGCAAUGAUGUUCUUAUUGGUGUAUCCAGCUCUGGAACAACUUAAGAGACCACUGCAAAAUUAUCAGUUUCACUAGUUUUACUAUUUAUGGUAUUUAGGUAUGUGUAAAUUGAAAAUUUUUGAUUUUUGUGUUAUUCUAUAAACUACUAACAAUAUUUCCAAAUUCCAAAUAAAAGUAUUGUCAUUUAGAGCAAUUAUUUGCUGAAAAUGACAACUGGUCAAAAAAAAAAAAAGAUACAAUGUUUUUAGACCUCAAAUAAUGCAAAGAAAACAAAUUCAUAUUCUUUUUUUAAACAACACAAUACUAACGUUUUAACUUAGAAAGAGUUCAAAAAUCAAUAUUCAGUGGAACAACCCUGAUUUUCAAUCACAGCUUUCAUGUGUCUUGGCAUGCACUCCACCAGUCUUUCACAUUGCUGUUGGGUGACUUUAUGCCACUCCUGGCGCAGAAAUUCAAGCAGCUCAGCUUUGUUUGAUGGCUUGGUAAUAUCCAUCUUCCUUUUAACCACAUCCCAGAGGUUUUCAAUGGGGUUCCGGUCUGGAGAUUGAACUGGCCAUAUAAGGGUCUUGAUCUGGUGGUCCUUCAUCCACAUCUUGAUUGACCCGGCUGUGUGGCAUGGAACACUGUCCAAUCCUCAGAGUUAGGGAACAUUAACAAAGCAAAAGGAAGCAAGUUUUUUUCCAGGAUAACCUUGUACUUGGCUUGAUUCAUGUGUCCUUCACAAAGACACAUCUGCCUGAUUCCAGCCUUGCUGAAGCACCCCCAGAUCAUCGCUGAUCCUCCACCAAAUUUCCCAGUCAAUGCAAGACACUGUGGCUUAUAGCCCUCUCCAGGUCUCCAUCUAACAUCUAACCAUUAGACAACCAGGUGUUGGGCAAAGCCGAACAUUGGACUCAUCAGAGAAGAUGACCUUACACCAGUCCUCUAUGGGACAAUCCUUAUGGUCUUUUGCAAACCUCAGCCUGGCUCUUCUUUGCUUCUCAUCAAGAGAAGCUUUUUUCUAGCUUUGCAAGACUUCAGCCCUGCCCCUAGGAGCCUCUUUUCAACCAUUUUUGCCGUGCAUUUCACCCCAGCUGCCAUUUGUGAUUAUUUUUGUCGUUUUCAUCCUCUGCUGGUCUGUAGCUUUGUUGUCCCCAAUGUCUGCUGCUUGAGCAUGUUCUUAUGAACCACUGCCUUUGAAAUUUUAAGGAUGGAAGCAGCCUGACACUCACUGUAUCCCUCUGCCAGUAAAGCCAGAAUUUAACCCUUCUUUUCCUCUCUCAAAACCUUUCUGUGUUGAAAUUCAAGAAACACUUGAAUGGAAUGCCUGCCAUACAUGUAGAGAUACUGAUUUAAGAAAAAUUUGGAGUGGUAUUAGUGGUAUUACUUAAUAUUUUCCGGAGCUGUAUGUAUCAGAAUAAAAUGCUGUAUUAGGGCAUCUGCCACACACUCCCAAGUCCAUAACACUUUCAGUUCCCGAGAUAUAGGCCAAAAUGUCUUUCCGGUAGAAAGGAAGGGGCUGAGGGGCUGUGUGUGAAAAUUUGUCGCAGGGUGGCAGCCAAAACGUUUUCCCCAGAAAAUGUUUAAGAGCAUGUUUCUCCAUUUGGAGUGGAUUGAUACCACUUUUGGAGGACUGUUCCCUAACCCUUAACACUUAAUUUUACUGUAAAACUGUAACUAGUUCUUUUCAGUUUAAGGCAGGAAUAAGCUCUGUUGGGUGGAGACUCCCCAGGAUCAUAGAGACAGGUACCCAAUCAAAGGUAAGUAAUCAAAGGUCAGUAAAAGUAUGUUAAUCGUUUAUGCUUAAGGUACACUGAUCAGGUGUAACACCGUGACCACUGACGGGUGAAAUGAAUAACACUGAUAAUCUCUUCCUCAUGGCACCUGUUAGUGGGUGGGAUAUAUUAGGCAGCAAGUGAACAUGUUGUCCUCAAAUCAGGAAAAAUGGGCAAGCGUAAGGAUUUGAGCGAGUUUGAAAAGGGCCAAAUUGUGAUGGCUAGAUGACUGGGUUAGAGCAUCUCCAAAACUGACGGGGCUAUUCCCUUUCUGCGGUGGUCUGUAUCUAUCAAAAGUAAUCUAAGGAAGGAACAGUGGUGAACCGGCGAUAGGGUCAUGGCCGGCCAAGGCUCACUGAUUCACAUGCAGAACGCAAGGCUGCCCUCUGCCCUGUGUCAUCCAAUCCAACAGACAAGCUACUGUGGCUCAAAUUGCUUAAGAAGUUUGCUUUGUCAGUGCCAGUGUGCUCUGGCCCAUGCUCUGCUGCGAUAGCACAGUCUGUAUUCGCGUCUUGCAAUACUGACUGAGAAAGCAAAUUGCCCGUGGGGGACAAUAAAGCAUCAACUGAAUUGAAUUGAAUUGAAUUAAUGCUGGUUCUGAUGGAAAGGUGUCAGAAUUCAUGCAUCACAGUUUGUUGCAUAUGGAGCUGCAUAAAUAUUUGUGUAAGUUUUAGUUUGAAUGUAUGUAACCAUUUUUUUAUCAGGUGUAGCUCACCUCCUGCCACCCCACCGACACCCCCAGCCUCACACACACCCACACUGUCCCAAAUGGCUUGAGCCAACCCCCAGCAUUCUCCUGUACAGCACCUCUCCAUCUGCCCCUCCUCUUUCUCCCCCACCUCCUCCUCCUCCACGGAAGACAUCAUCAGCCCAACGGUGACUACAGGCCAGGUUAGGAGGCAGCUGGAUGGCAUCACACCCAGGAUCCUGGAGACCUGUAACAGCCAGCUGUCUCGACACUAUGGAAGACGUCCUGCCUGGUUCCAGUCCCCAAGAAGUCGAUGCCAUCUGACUCGGCAGACUACAGACCAGUCGCCCUCACAUCUCAUGUGAUGAAGGUCCUGGAGAGACUGGUCUUAGCCCAGCUGAGGCCACAGACUGGACUGGACAUCUAACACCGAGGCUGUGUACAAGAAGGUGAUGAGCAGGCUCUGUUUCCUGAGGAAAUCCUUCAACGUGUACGGCAAGUUGUCGGAGAUCUUCUACCAGUCUGUUGUUGCCAGCGCCAUUUUCUUUGCUGUGGUGUGUUGGGGCAGCAGCAUCAGAGCCAGCGACACUAAAAGACUUGAUAAGAUCAUUAAGAAGGCUGGCUCUGUACUCGGUCUCAGGCUGGAGUCUUUUGAGACCGUGGUGGAGAGGAGGUCACUGAACAAACUGUUAUCCAUCAUGGACAACGAUCAGCACCCUCUCCAUCAUACAGUUGACAGACAGCGGAGCACCUUCUCCCACAGGCUGCUGCAGCUCCGCUGUCAAAGGGACAGAUACAGGAAAUCUUUCCUGCCACAUGCCAUCACACUGUGCAAUAACAGCUAAACUCUGGUCAUAC
This is a long non-coding RNA of Scatophagus argus, 5235 nucleotides long. RefSeq lists it as uncharacterized. The transcript has 3 exons. Lineage: Eukaryota; Metazoa; Chordata; Actinopteri; Scatophagidae. The record is from RefSeq and is a predicted model, not a curated record.